CCAGCGAGGAUGGUCAUACAUCAGGAAGAAGAUGCGAUUGCGGAGGAAGGCAAUGGGGUAGUACAUUAAUUUGCGGUGGAAGAACUUCAGGAGAAGAACAACCAGAAAGGCAGCAUGAACAGUGUCCAGACAUAUUGAAGAGAGAUAGCUGCCAUUGCCAUUCUUCCAUCUCCUUAGGCAUGCGAACCGCGGAGACGGAUGUGGAUAGAUCUGCUAAUCUAGGAGCAGUAAUGUAUGGUAAAAAAGUCCUUUCCUCAGACACUGCUGAUUUUUGUAGCAGGAGUUGCCCUAGCCCGCCUCAAAUAACACUUACCACUUUUCAGUCAAAAUCUGAGCUACCUAUCCGACAAACCAUCAUUGGUCCCAAACUCGAAACUGUCAUAAAUGGCCAUGGUGACGACAGCUGAGACCAAACGUGAUGUUGUAUUGGUAUUAAACGAACGUACACCCAACUAUGGGCUCGGACAGAUGAACCCAAGGAACGUAUGUUUUAAGUACCAAAAGGAUUCAGAAAACAUAAUGCUUUCAGUGCUCACAAUAUAUUAUGAAAGCCUUGUGGUGGCUAUUGUUGCUCGCAUGUAUAAUAAAAUGUGAUUAAUAGUAUUUUUAUGUAAAUGCAUUUGCAUGCUUUGUCUUGUUGUAUCACGUUAUCAGACUGCUACAAGUGAUCAUGUAAGCGAUGGCGUAUCUACAGAUUUACAUAACUUUUUCUAAGAAUCUUCCACCAUUUCGCAGACACGGAUAUAUUUAAUGUGUUUUUAGGAGCGGGACAAGAUAUCAAAAAUUCAUCGAUCCAAGAUAGCGUGUUAUGAAAAAUGUGUUAUGUUCUACAUAAAAUACAGAACAGUUCUACGAAAGAAAUAUUAUAUGGUGCAUUACAGAAACUUGCUUUUAUGGAGACUACGCAAAAAAAGUACUUCAUGAGUGCCCUGAAUUUUAUACUGAAAUGUAUAUGUAUAUAUCUAUCACAAAAUGUUAAUUUUAUGAAUGAAAAAAUUAUGAUUACAUUUGAAAAUGUUUAAAACAAAUGUUAUAAAAAUAUUCAUAGUAAAUAUUUUUGUUUUGUUCAUCAAACGGUUGCUACCAUUAUUACUGUGUGGCCAAUAUUUGUUUUUCGAAAGCACUUUUGGAAAUUUCACCAGGAAAAUCAUUCUGCUCAGUACAAAAUAUAUUUCUAACGCUAUUACGAAUGAAAAAAGUGAAAUAACUAUAUUUGAGCCCAAAUUGUUUUUAUGAAUAUUGUUCUUAUAAAAAAAAUUCUCAAUAGUACUUAAAAUUUUUCUGUUUCAAAUUUAGGUUUAAUUCAAAACAUGCAUUGAAAAACGUACAGUAAAGGCAGUUUUAAUUCAUAUUUUCAACGAGUCAACGUUUUUCUUUUUUACUUAUUUUAUUUAUUUAUUUAUUUAUUAUGAUUAACCCUUGCGCCAUUAGUACUAAUAAUCUAAAAAAUAAGUUUUUUUCUCCGGUUAUUUUCUACAGCAAAAAUCAAAUGAUAUUAAACAGUCGGCGAGGUUUACACUGUCUGAAUCCAUUUUAGCGACAUAUUUUUUUAAAAAAAUACAUGUAAUGAAAUUGAAUUCCUUAUUUGAUAUUCUUACUUAAUCGAACUACCUUCAUUAGAACCCGCAUUUAAUCCUCCGCUUGACAUGAGAAAAUUCAUCUAUGAUUAUCUGCACCAAAGGAAUUUUCAUUUCUAUUACAAAAAAAUAUAUAUAUAAUCAAAUAUUGCACUUUUUAAUAUUUUUUCACCAAAUUAGUACUUCUUAUCUCUAUCUUUAAUGCUCACUAAGUGAUUAAACUGCUUUUUAACCCAUCUGUUAAUCAAUUAUCACUAGAAAUAUCAGCAAUUUUUUAUUUGUGAGGUUAAAUCCGAAAUAACUCGUUCACUGACCUCUUUUGAUUUAAUUACUAACCAAAUUCUGACUAUAGAGUUUCGGAAAUUUCGUUAAGGAUAAAGUAACGGUAGAUUUAUAUUAUCAAAAUAUUCUCACUUGGUAAAUUAAAAAGCAGUUCAUGCUUCAAAAAAUAUAUUUUGUGCUGUAUUCAUCAAAGUAAUUCAUUUUAAAUUCAUUGCAUCUUAUUUUAUAGUAAAAAUAAAUUGUUUAACAUUUUUGUGAGCAUCUUUAUUUACCAAAAAUACUGCGUAUUAUUAAUAACAAGUAAAGAACAAUAUAAACUUUAAAUAACUAUAACUAACUUCAAAUUAUUUUAACCGCUUAAGAGUCUUAUUCCAGAAUAAGACGGUAGCAAUCCACUUCGGAUUCACAUCAUAAUUUCUCCCUCAAACCUUCUUCGUUCGUAGAAUGUCUAUGCGAAGACUGUUUCAGAAAGAAGUUAUGACGUCAAUCGAAAGCGGAAUGAUUCCGUGCGGGAGCUGAAAUAAGUCCCUAAAAUUUUCUUGAGAAGAAACUAUUGGACUAGCACUGAUUUACAGUCUAGGCAUGCAAAAUAUAAGUAAUGCGUGUUCAACAAGAUAAUAAUUUAUACAUUUUACAAAAGUUUGAAGUAUAUAAAAAUGUCCUUUUCACAUGUUACAAAAGCACUGAGUCAAUUCUGAUGUACAACAUAAAUGAUAUGAAAUAUCAAUGAAAUUGACAGUACAUUCAUUGUGUAAUAUUCAUUAUGUAAUGG
This is a long non-coding RNA of Uloborus diversus, 2631 nucleotides long. RefSeq lists it as uncharacterized. The record is from RefSeq and is a predicted model, not a curated record. The transcript is spliced from 3 exons. Lineage: Eukaryota; Metazoa; Arthropoda; Arachnida; Araneae; Uloboridae.